GGCCAGGUAGCUCAGUCGGUAGAGCAGCGGACUGAAAAUCCGCGUGUCGGUGGUUCGAUUCCGCCCCUGGCCA
This 73-nucleotide transfer RNA is filed under the name Hydrogenophilus thermoluteolus. It matches the Rfam family "tRNA". Rfam says of the family: Transfer RNA (tRNA) molecules are approximately 80 nucleotides in length. Their secondary structure includes four short double-helical elements and three loops (D, anti-codon, and T loops). RNAcentral also lists the same sequence under 4 other names. The record is from Rfam by way of RNAcentral. Lineage: Bacteria; Pseudomonadati; Pseudomonadota; Hydrogenophilia; Hydrogenophilales; Hydrogenophilaceae.